This 412-nucleotide long non-coding RNA is filed under the name Gossypium raimondii (Peruvian cotton). Its description in RNAcentral is "long non-coding RNA (GRAI_LNC010568)". The record is from RNAcentral. Lineage: Eukaryota; Viridiplantae; Streptophyta; Magnoliopsida; Malvales; Malvaceae.
UCAGGAUACCACGUCAGUUCAAAGAGAACAGAUAGAGUGGAUGAUACUAAGGCAACAUCUUCUUGUACUAUAUUUGAAGCACCGACAGAAGGUAAAGAACCUGUAGAUGAUCCAGAAACAAACGAAUCAAAAUAAUGAGAAUAGGGCUUGGAUCGUCGAGACUCGGAUGGGCCAUGAUCAGGACACAUGUAGGCUGAAGCAAACGGCCCACAACUCAAGUGAGUAGAUGGCCCAAUAGAAUGUCUAUUUCCAAAAAUAGGGUUAGUAGCAUCAUCAUCAUAAGCCAAGUCGUAUCAGUAGAAGUACCUAUUAGCAAGAUGGUUGAUUUUGCCACAGAUCUAACAUUGUGGUCGUGUGCCUCCACAAAACUGACCAUGUCAUUUCACAAGUAAACCCUGGUGCUCGAUUAGGU